Molecule: long non-coding RNA, 2078 nt
Filed under: Marmota monax (woodchuck)
Lineage: Eukaryota; Metazoa; Chordata; Mammalia; Rodentia; Sciuridae
Source: RNAcentral
AGGGGGACAAAAACAUAAUCACAGUCUUCCUGAUUUUCUAACCAAUCUUUACAUUCCAUUCUAUAAGUUGGAGUCAUACACAUUAUUUCUCUCCAAUAGGUAUCAUAAAUAUUACAAUUGAAGAAAAUUAGGCUUUAGAGUGUAAAGAAGUGAUGAUAAUGGGGAUCACUCUCAUGAAGCUGAAUGGAGUAUAAAUCUAGAACUGAAGAUGAAAGACCUCUUCAGGAAGAGAUAAUAGAAACAUGGAAGGGAGCCAAAGUGGAAAGGCUUAAGAGUUCAAAGGUCAGCGUGGGAAAAUAGCUUACUUAACACAAUAUAGGAAAAGUAGCUCAAGUCUUUCAUCACCUUAAUCAGUAUGAUUUAGAGCAGGAAGUGGCAAGCUUCUUUGCUCUCAGGUAUAGUGUCCACUUCUGAACCAUGUCUGAACUGCAUAUUUCUUUCCUUGUAUUUGCUUGGGAUUCAGCCAUACUCAUCAGUUACAUGCUGUCUUUGGCUGCUUUUCUAUGCAACAGAGUUUGUGUCUUGGGGGCUGCUACAAUCCAAUUCCACUUACUGGAUAGCUUAUAAACAGAAAUUUGUCAAUAAUUUUGGAGACUGAGAAUUCCAAGGCACCAGAGGAUUUGGGUUUGGUGAUGUGCUACUUCCUGGUUCACAGAGGGCUCCUUCUCGUUGUCCUUAGCCCCUUAAAAGUGUACUGAUUCCCUUCAAGAAGACUCCACUUUGAUGACCUACUCACCUUCCAAAAGCCCUACUUUGUAGUACCAUGACAUGGGUAAUUAGAUUUCAGUGUAAAAAUUUUGGAGGGGCACAUUCAGUCCUUAGAAGAUUAUAUGUUCCCCGAAGCCCCCAAAAUUUACUAUUAGGCUCAUUAUAGAAAAUGUUAACUGGCCCCUGCACUAGAGAAUCCAUGUCUAUCCAGGUGGGAUAGAGAGAUUAAACCUAGAGAAAUUAGGUAGAAUGGAAAGUUAUAAUGAUGGUGAACAUAUCCUUUCUUAGGGACUAGCCAUUGUGGUUACCCUCCUAAGCUAGACUAGAAAGCAGAACAAGACAGAUAAAUACCCCCAGAGGGAUGGCUCAGGAACUCCAUAGUCCUAUCACUAUUUUUAAUGUUAGAGAAUACGGGAGAGAGAAAAAAAAUGGGGUGGGGGAAAUAUGAGAGUUUGGAAAUGAUGCAUGAAAAUACUCCUAACCACUAGGUUGCAACUAUACAUUGUAGAGAGAGUUGCGGUUAUUUAAGCUUUUUUAGUAUGCCAAAAGCUUGAGUGAAAAUAAAUUCAUUUUGGAGACCAAAAUUUGACUAAUGAAAGAAGACCAACAUGGGCUUUUCAAAGUUGAGUAUGAUUUCUGCCACUCCCAGGUAGUAAUUAUGUGACCUUGAAAAAACUACUAAAUCUGGGUUUCGGUUUCUUUAUCUGUAAAGUGGGAAUAAGUCAUCCUUUCCUCACAAAAUUGUCAUGAAGUUUAAAUGAAAAUGCAUAUGGAGGACUUCGCACAUCAUCACUGUAGACAGCCCCCCAUUCCUGCCCGCUCCCACCUGCCUGCUCAUGAAUACUCUGAGGUCGCAUGCUGUCUUUCUCUCUAUAAUGUUUAUAUUUUUAAAUUGUAUUUUCAUCAAGUGACUAAGCAUCAAUCAGUAGAAGUUACUUUAGUAUCUCCCCACCUUUUGUUUACCAAUAAAGAACUGUGACUCUCCUGCUCUCUGACUUAUCUUAAAGAUGGAGCUUUCACUUUUUGCUUUUGCUUCCAUUGGUGCUGUUCCUUGCAGUUUCUUUGAGACCUUGUGGAACCUGCCGCUUUUCCUUCUGAAUAUCACUUAAGCAGGAGCUAUCUGAUAGUUCCAGAGACUCAAGUUUACAACCUAAUUGCACUUUAACUAGUGUUAAGGGAUUUGCUCUUUUACUGGGAACUCUGGCCCUUUGCAUUUUGUAUUUGUCCUUUCUAUACCUAAUGUUCAACCUAAUUACAUGUUUGUAUUCCACAUAAAUCUUGGAAAUUUUAAUGAUCUGCAUUUUAAAUGUUUUGGUUAUCUAUAAACAAUAUUAUCUGUUCUUAUAUUAUCUGUUCUAUUGUCAAUAAAG